CAGCAGCCGCGGGAACACCAGCACCUCGAGUGGUCAGGAGGUUUAUUGGGCCUAAAGCAUCCGUAGCCGGUUGCAUAAGUUUUCGGUUAAAUCUAUGCGCUUAACGUAUAGGCCGCCGAAAAUACUGUGCAGCUAGGGAGUGGGAGAGGUACACGGUACUCGAUAGGAAGGGGUAAAAUCCUUUGAUCUAUUGAUGACCACCUGUGGCGAAGGCGGUGUACCAGAACACGUUCGACGGUGAGGGAUGAAAGCUGGGGGAGCAAACCGGAUUAGAUACCCGUGUAGUCCCUGUCUCUUAUAC
This 301-nucleotide ribosomal RNA is filed under the name uncultured bacterium. RNAcentral describes it as "partial 16S ribosomal RNA". It matches the Rfam family "Archaeal small subunit ribosomal RNA", at positions 459 to 760 of the family's 1478-position model. The record is from RNAcentral.